Molecule: ribosomal RNA, 1491 nt
Filed under: Candidatus Heimdallarchaeota archaeon
Lineage: Archaea; Promethearchaeati; Candidatus Heimdallarchaeota
Description: bacterial SSU rRNA
Rfam family: Archaeal small subunit ribosomal RNA
Source: RNAcentral
ACACCGGUUGAUCCUGCCGGACCUGACUGCUAUUGGAGUAGGACUAAGUCACGCUAGUUAAAGGUGCGGAAUGGAGCACCUGGCGUACGGCUCAGUAACACGUAGUCAACCUACCCUAAGGACGAGGACAACCACGGGAAACUGUGGAUAAUACUCGAUAAGAAAUUCGGCCUGGAACGGUGUCUUUCACAAAACCGACCCGCCGUGGGAUACGGGCCUUAGGAUGGGGCUGCGGCCGAUUAUGCUAGAUGGCGGUGUAAAGGACCACCAUGGCUGCGAUCGGUAUGGGCGAUGGAAGUCGGAGCCCAGAGUCGGCUACUGAGACAAGGAGCCGAGCUUUACGAAGCUUAGCGGUCGCGAAAACUCGCCAAUGCACGAAAGUGUGAGUGGGCUACUCCAAGUGUCAUUCUUACGGAUGACUGUCGCUCAGUCUUACCAGCUGAGAAAGGAAGGAGAGGGCAAGGCUGGUGCCAGCCGCCGCGGUAAAACCAGCUCUUCGAGUGGUCAGGACGAAUAUUGGGUCUAAAGCGCUCGUAGCCGGACAAGUAGGUUCCUGGUUAAACCCGACAGCAUAACUGUUGGCCUGCUGGGAAUACCGCUAGUCUUGGAAGCGGGAGAGGACAGAGGUAGUCAUAGGGCAGGGGUGAAAUCCAGUGAUCCUAUGGCGACCACCGAUGGCGAAGGCAUCUGUCUGGAACGUAUUCGACGGUGAGGGGCGAAAGCCAGGGGAGCGACCCGGAUUAGAUACCCGGUUAGUCCUGGCCGUAAACGAUGCGGACUAGGUGUUACAACAGCCAAGAGCCGUUGUAGUGCCACAGCGAAGGCGUUAAGUCCGCCACCUGGGGAGUACGGAUGCAAAUCUGAAACUUAAAGGAAUUGACGGGGGCGCACCACCAGGAGUGAAGCCUGCGGUUUAAUUGGAUUCAACGCCGGAAAACUCACCUGAACAGACGAUAGAAUGAAGCUCAAGCUAAUGACUUUAGCUAACUAAUCGAGAGGAAGUGCAUGGCCGUCGACAGUUCGUGCUGUGAAGUGUCCUGUUAAGUCAGGCAACGAACGAGAUCCACGUCCGCAAUUGCCAGCGGGUCCCUUUGGGAUGCCGGGAACCUUGCGGAGACUGCUCGGUGCUAAACCAGAGGAAGGAGUGGGCAACGGCAGGUCAGUAUGCUCCGAUAGUUCAGGGCUACACGCGGGCUGCAAUGGUCGGUACAAUGGGCUGCAACCCCGAAAGGGGAAGCCAAUCCCGAAAGCCGGUCUCAGUCAGGAUCGCGGUUUGCAACUCAACCGCGUGAAUAUGGAAUUCCUAGUAAUCGUGUUUCAUCAAGACACGGUGAAUACGUCCCCGCGCCUUGUACACACCGCCCGUCGUUGCAACCAACCGCAUGGUGGUUGAGGUGGCUGAUUUAAUGCGGCUAUCAAUACUGCUGUGUAUGAGGAGGCAAAAGUCGUAACAAGGUAGCCGUAGGGGAACCUGCGGCUGGAUCACCUCCU